Molecule: ribosomal RNA, 442 nt
Filed under: uncultured bacterium
Lineage: Bacteria
Description: partial 16S ribosomal RNA
Rfam family: Bacterial small subunit ribosomal RNA
Source: RNAcentral
CCUACGGGAGGCAGCAGUGGGGAAUAUUGGGCAAUGGGCGCAAGCCUGACCCAGCAAUGCCGCGUGAAGGAAGAAGGCUUUCGGGUUGUAAACUUCUUUGACAGGGGAAGAGCAGAAGACGGUACCAUGAAAAAAAGCCAGGGCUAACUACGUGACAGCAGCCGGGGUAAUACGUAGGGGGCAAGCGUUGUCCGGAUUUACUGGGUGUAAAGGGCGUGUAGACGGGAAUGCAAGUCAGAUGUGAAAUCCUGAGGCUCAACCCCCGAAUUGCAUUUGAAACUGUUAGUCUGGAGUACUGGAGAGGUAGGCGGAAUUCCUUGUGUAGCGGUGAAAUGCGUAGAUAUAAGGAGGAACACCAGUGGCGAAGGCGGUCUACUGGACCGUAACUGACGGUGAGGCUCGAAAGCGUGGGGAGCAAACAGGAUUAGAUACCCUUGUAGUC